UACGUAGGUGGCAAGCGUUGUCCGGAUUUACUGGGCGUAAAGGGCGUGCAGGCGGUUUGUUAAGUGCAGAGUGAAAGCUCCCGGCUCAACUGGGAGAGGUCUUUGCAUACUGGCAAACUCGAGGGAGGCAGAGGAAAGUGGAAUUCCCGGUGUAGUGGUGAUAUGCGUAGAUAUCAGGAGGAACACCGAUGGCGAAGGCAGGUCUCUGGGCUGACACUGACGCUCAUGCACGAAAGCGUGGGGAGCAAACAGG
Molecule: ribosomal RNA, 253 nt
Filed under: uncultured bacterium
Lineage: Bacteria
Description: partial 16S ribosomal RNA
Rfam family: Bacterial small subunit ribosomal RNA
Source: RNAcentral